UGGGGAAUUUUUGGACAAUGGGCGAAAGCCUGAUCCAGCAAUGCCUCGUGUGUGAAGAAGGCCUUCGGGUUGUAAAGCACUUUUGUCCGGAAAGAAAUCCUUGGCUCUAAUACAGUCGGGGGAUGACGGUACCGGAAGAAUAAGCACCGGCUAACUACGUGCUAGCAGCCGCGGUAAUACGUAGGGUGCAAGCGUUAAUCGGAAUUACUGGGCGUAAAGCGUGCGCAGGCGGUUUGCUAAGACCGAUGUGAAAUCCCCGGGCUCAACCUGGGAACUGCAUUGGUGACUGGCAGGCUAGAGUAUGGCAGAGGGGGGUAGAAUUCCACGUGUAGCAGUGAAAUGCGUAGAGAUGUGGAGGAAUACCGAUGGCGAAGGCAGCCCCCCUGGGCCAAAUACUGACGCUCAUGCACGAAAGCGUGGGGAGCAAACAGGAUUAGAUACCCUGGUAGUCCACGCCCUAAACGAUGUCAACUAGUUGUUGGGGAUUCAUUUCCUUAGUAACGUAGCUAACGCGUGAAGUUGACCGCCUGGGGAGUACGGUCGCAAGAUUAAAACUCAAAUGAAUUGACGGGGUCAUAGCUGUUUCCU
RNAcentral lists this ribosomal RNA (588 nucleotides) under uncultured bacterium. RNAcentral's name for it is "partial 16S ribosomal RNA". It matches the Rfam family "Bacterial small subunit ribosomal RNA", at positions 355 to 1375 of the family's 1533-position model. The record is from RNAcentral.